ACACGGGGGUUGCAAGCGUUGUCCGGAAUUACUAGGCGUAAAGGGCAGGUAGGCGGAUCUAUAAGUUUGAUGGUUAAAGGCAGCGGCUCACCCGCUGUAGGGCCUCAGAUACUGUAGAUCUGGAAUACGGUUGAGGAAGACAGAAUUCCUGGUGUAGCGGUGGAAUGCGCAGAGAUCAGGAGGAAUACCAAAGGCGAAGGCAGUCUUCUAAGCCGUUAUUGACGCUAAACUGCGAAGGUGUGGGUAUCAAACAGGAUUAGAUACCCUGGUAGUCCACACAGUAAACGAUAAUCACUAGGUGUCGGGUUCGAUAAGGAUUCGGUGCCGCAGCUAACGCGUUAAGUGAUUCGCCUGGGGAGUACGAUCGCAAGGUUGAA
This 377-nucleotide ribosomal RNA is filed under the name uncultured bacterium. RNAcentral describes it as "bacterial SSU rRNA". It matches the Rfam family "Bacterial small subunit ribosomal RNA", at positions 523 to 898 of the family's 1533-position model. The record is from RNAcentral.